GUGCUGGCUGUCCCUGGUGACAGACUGCAGCCCAGCCAUAGCCUGGGGGAGGGAGUGGGUUGCAGCAGAUGUGCACAUCUGGAUCACCUGCCCCUAACCCAGCACACUCCAACUUCUCCAUGGCUUUGGCUUCCACAGGACAUUUCUCGGGGUGGCCUCCUCUCUGAGUGUAACCAUCAUUUAAAGAAACCCUUCCGCCCAGCAUGGUGUCUCAGGCCUAUAAUCGCAGCACUUUGGGAGGCCAAGGCAGAUGGAUCAUUUGAGGUCAGAAGUUUGAGACCAGCCUAACCAACAUAGCAAAACCCCAUCUCUACUAAAAAUUACAAAAAAUUGGCUGGGUGCAGUGGCUCACACCUGUAAUCCCAGCAGUUUUGGAGGCCGAGGCAGGCAGAUCACGAGGUCAGGAGAUCAAGACCAUCCUGGCCAACAUGGUGAAACCCCAUCUCUACUAAAAUACAAAAAGUUAGUUGGGCAUGGUGUUGUACGCCUGCAGUCCUUGCUACUCGGGAGGCUGGGGCCGGGGAAUUGCAUGAACCCAGGAGGCGGAGACUGCAGUGAACUGAGAUAGUGCCACUGCAUUCCAGCCUGGCGACAGAGCGAGACUCCAUCUCAAAAAAAAAAAAAAAAAAAAAUUACAAAAAUUAGCCAGGUGUGGUGGUGCACGCCUGUAAUCCCAGCUACUCAGGAGGCUGAGGAACAAGAAUCACUUGAACCCAGGAGGCGGAGGUCGCAGUGAGCCAAGAUUUUACCACUGCAGUCCAGCCUCCAGCCUGGGUGACAGAGCAAGACUAUCUCAAAAGAAAAGAAAAGAAAAAAAGAAAAGAAAAGAAAAGUGAGAAAGAGAGAGAGAGAGAGGAAAAGAAAAGAAAAGAAAGAAAAAAGAAAAGAAAACAAAGAAAAGAAAAGAAAACAGCCUCAUCAAAUUUUGGUGUGGUAUAAAAGAAGAGUAUUCUCAAUUGCCAAAUGGCUAUUAAAAAUACUCAGCCCUUUUCCAGCUACAUAUCUCUGUGAAUUUGGAUUUUUUUUUUGCUUCCUUCAACAACAACAAAAAACCGUAAUGCAACAGAUUGAAUGCAGAGGCAAAUAUAAGAAUCCAGCUUUCUUCUACUUAGGCAGACAUAAAAGAGAUUUGUGAAAUUGUAAAUGUUUGGUGUCCUCAAAGUACUUAGGUGUAUAAAAGUGUCCUGAGACCCAAAGUGCGAGAACCUCUGUGGGUUUAACACUGAGUUAAAUCCAGGUAUAUUGUGUAUUAUUUGAUUCUCACAAGAAUCCUAAGAGGUAGACUUUAUCAUCCCUAUUUUCUAGAUGGGGCUAAGAAUCUCAGGUUAAAAAACUUCCCUAAUGAUUUGUUCCUUUGACUCUCUAAUGCCAAAAUGUAUGGCUUCCCAGAAUUCGUGUUAAAGCCCAGUUAGUCUCAUCAAGGAUAAUGAUAACCAAGGGACACAGACUCAAAGUCUGGCUGUGUAUCACCUUGCCCACUCUGCUACCUCAUUCCUCAAGGAAAUUUACUGGAGAAAAGUUCAGUACUUUAUGGGAGACAAGGCCCAAUUUCCUGGACUUCUAGGAGCUGGGACUUGACUGGCAGCAGCUUGCUUUUCCUACCCGGGAUUGACAGGAGCCAAUUAUCAAAGCAGCUUCCCACCCCUGGAACCCUGCAUUGAUUGGCUCCCCUCAAGCCUCCAUUUCCAGCUGUCCUCCUCCACUCAGGCCAGUUCUCUCCCUCCAGCAUCGCAUCUGAGUGAUGCAUAAUCUCCAGCCAAAGCCCUAUAGCCACCCCUCUUCUGCCACAUCUUCACCAGCUUCUGGUGGACCCCUCAAUUCCCACAGCCAGAGCUGCCCUGUGGAAUGCCCCACCAGUGGGCUCUUGCUCUGGUUCCUUCUUAGGAGGCUUUUCUGUGGAUGCAUUCAACAUCCUUUUCUCCUUAUUUGGGACCUGACUUCCCUUCUUGAUGCCAUUUCCCUCCAUCUUAAGAACAUAAUGUGUCUACUUGAGCCCCUAGAAGUCUGGGCUAGGACGAGGGGCCAAGAGGAAUCUAACUUCAUCUGCUAGACCCAGGACCAACCUCCAUUCUUCCUCCACGCAGAGCCUUCACCAUGUGCCUAAGCCCUCUCCCUCCCAUCCUUGGAAGUGCAUCUAAUAAGGCAGUGCAUCUCAUGACUGCAAGACCACCCCCAUAGUCUUUUGGGGUCUCUCUUCCAGUUUCUUCUGUACCCCAUACCUUCCCCUCCUCUUAGGUGAUUUCACUUGAAAUUAUUUUAUGUUAGCAUUAUUUUUUUCAGUGCUGUGACAGGUAGAAAUUGGUAUAUUAAUCUGUUCUCGUGCUGCUAAUAAAGACAUACCCAAGACUGGGUAACUUAUAAAGAAAAGUUUUAAUGGACUCACAUUUCCACGUGGCUGGGGAGGCCUCACAAUCAUAGCAGAAGGUGAAGGAGGAGCAAAGUCAUGUCUUACAUGGCAGCAGGCAAGAGGGCAUGUGUAGGGGAACUGCCCUUUCUGAAACCAUCAGAUCUCAUGAGCCUUAUUCACUAUCAUGAGAACAGCAUGGGAAAAACCUACCCCCAUGAUUCAAUUACCUGGCAUCAGGUACCUCCCUUGACACAUGGGGAUUAUGGGAGCUACAAUUCAAGAUGAGAUUUGGGUGGGGAUACAAUCAAACCAUAUCAUUCUGCCCCUGGCCCCUCCCAUGUCUCAUGUCCUCACAUUUCAAAACCAUCAUGCCUUCCCAACAGUCCCCUAAAGUCUUAACUCAUUUCAGCAUUAACUCAAAUAUCCACAGUCCAAAGUCUCAUCUGAGACAAGUCAUGUCCCUUUGGCCUAUGAGUCUGGAAAAUCAAAAGCAAAUUAGUUACUUCCAAGAUACAAUGAGGCUAAAGGCAUUGGGCAAAGGUUCCUAUUCCAAAUGGGAGAAAUUGGCCAAAAAAAAGGGGCUACAGGUCCCAUGCAAGUCUGAAAUCCAUUGAGGGCAGUCAAAUCUUAAAGCUCCAAAAUAAUCUCUUUGACCGUAUGUCUCACUUCCAGGUCAUGUUGAUGCAAGACAUGGGUUCGCAUGGUCUUGGGCAGCUCUGCCCUGUGGCUUUGCAGGGUACAGUCCCACUCCUGGCUGCUUUCACAGGCUGGUUGAGUAUCUGUGACUUUUCCAGGCACACAGUGCAAGCUGUUGGUGGAUCUAACAUUCUGGCACCUGGA
RNAcentral lists this long non-coding RNA (3187 nucleotides) under Homo sapiens (human). RNAcentral describes it as "HSALNT0109403". Lineage: Eukaryota; Metazoa; Chordata; Mammalia; Primates; Hominidae. The record is from RNAcentral.